Molecule: long non-coding RNA, 259 nt
Filed under: Homo sapiens (human)
Lineage: Eukaryota; Metazoa; Chordata; Mammalia; Primates; Hominidae
Description: HSALNT0358705
Source: RNAcentral
CACAAUCUUAGCUCACUGCAAGCUCCACCUCCCAGGAUCUCGCUAUUCUCCUGCCUCAGCCUCCCGAGUAGCUGGGAUUACAGGCGCCCGCCACCACGCCCGGCUAAUUUUUUGUAUUAUUAGUAGAGACAGGGUUUCACCGUGUUAGCCAGGAUGGUCUCAAUCUCCUGACCUCGUGAUCCGCCUGCCUCGGCCUCCCAGAGUGCUGAGAUUACAGGCAUGAGCCACCGCGCCUGGCCUGGGAGGCCCUUUCUAUGAA